This is a long non-coding RNA of Bubalus bubalis (water buffalo), 1002 nucleotides long. RefSeq lists it as uncharacterized. Lineage: Eukaryota; Metazoa; Chordata; Mammalia; Artiodactyla; Bovidae. The record is from RefSeq and is a predicted model, not a curated record. The transcript has 3 exons.
GGCUGGGGCGUGAGCGCAGGCACCCUCCCCGAGCCGGAGCGGGAGGGAAGCCGGGGGAAGCGGGGAGGGGGAUGUUAUCUACCUCCCGUCCCCGCCCCCAAGCAGAUUUCCCUGCUUCAGACUAGGCAGGUGGAGUUUUGUUUGUUUGAGUUGAUGUUUUUCUCCUGUAAGUAUGUGUAUACCCUGCACAGCAGGUUCGAAUAAACUUUUUUUUUUUUUUGGUCUUGUUUGAAGUUUGGGGUUGCCUCCUUUCCUGUAAGCCAGUUCUAAAGCCUUCUGAUAAAUGAAAUCGUGUUCCUUCUGUCAGUGCACUCAAGUCUUCAUGAUUUUUAAGUUAGUUGAGCCUACUUAGAAAGUAAGCCUGAGUGAUGUCUAAGCAGUAGCCUACCGUUUGGGGAUGAGAGACCCGGGUUUUUCGGGCAGCGAGGCUUGGAAAAUCGGGUUGACAGUUAUUUUGUGCCGUGCGAUCUCCAUCCGCAAGGGAGGAGGGACACAGAAUGCUGUGGUUUUCCGAGGGCCGUGGUUUAUUCAGUCAGUCCGUCCUCGAGGGUCCAGGCUCCCUAGUAGGACAGGUUAUUGGAAGAAGAGAGAGGCUGCUGCAGGUGUUUGGACUGAAACUGAAAAUAGCAACAAACAGUAAUUCCAGGUCUCCCUGGGUCAAGUUGUUUAUUAUUUGCAACACCUGAGAUAUCUGCUGAGCAUUCUGCUAUGUUGUGGGCUAUGACAAGAUCCAUCUUUAAACUGUCCCAGCCUUCGAAUGGACUAGGACUCAACUAGUCCUAAAUGGACUCAGCUACCAGAAUGCUGACAUUCCUAAUGUGUGUGUCACUUGAUCAUAUCCGAGGAGCUGUGCAAGAGGAGGAAUUCCUGGCUUUAAGGACUUUGCAAUUUGGGGAACUCUGAGUGCCAAGACUUAUGUUUUUACUAACUGAAACCCCCCCAAAUUUGUCUGUAUUUGCAUAAAGUAUCAAUUCAUUAUUAAAUUGGGAUUCUUUGUCUGGA